This is a long non-coding RNA of Branchiostoma floridae (Florida lancelet), 1864 nucleotides long. RefSeq lists it as uncharacterized. The record is from RefSeq and is a predicted model, not a curated record. The transcript has 2 exons. NCBI's taxonomy places the organism in Eukaryota, Metazoa, Chordata, Leptocardii, Amphioxiformes, Branchiostomatidae.
GUCACCUGCCUUGUAGUAGGGAAGAGUUGUUUCAGUGUCUUCGGUGGCUUUCAGUUUUCCCUACCGCUCAGUAUUCUGCCAGAACGAGGAAUCAUAGCCACAAACCAGCCGGUGUGGAUCGGAAACACUGUACUUAGUACCUGCAGAGCCAAGGCGCUUCGGACAGUAACAAGGAUGUCUAGUACCCAGAAUACCACGCUCUGGACGCUUCCAACAGACGCACUGAACCAAACGACGCAAGGCCUUGGAACGACGUCAACAGAGAGCGACUUCACCACACAGUACAACGUUACAACGGCACUGACGACUGUAGCACAAAAUCAGACGACUUCCUACACCGAAGUGUCCUCUGAGCGGCCUGUGAACGAGUCUACCUUUAGGCCCAUCUCCAUGUCAACCGCCAUGUCCUCGGUAAAUCGAACACCACCACGAAGUGCCACAAACACAAACGGGCUUUGCGAAGCCCCAACAAACGUUAGCAUGAUGUUGUUAGGGACCGCUGUAGGUUCUAUCCUAGCCACUUGUGUCUUGUGCGCCAUCGUAUUUUUGGUGUGGUACAAAUUCUGCCACGCGAAAGGUACCGCAUACCGGGACGGAAGGGACAACGAGGAAAUGAAUCUGGGAACGAGAGCCUCCGCAGACGACAAUGUCUCCCCUCAGCGCACUGGGUCUGAAUCUCGUCCUCCGGCGCCUCUGCCGAGGUCGGAGCUACAGGACACUCGGUACAUGACCUUGCCAGUGACCUCUGCAUCCCCAAACGACAUUGCCCUCCGAGAAACAGUUGGAAAUAUCCGUUAAGUGAGAAUUAUAACGUUACCAGUGUGAAAAGUGGAUAUGGGCCGAUUUUUGUUGGACCGGUUUUAAACCAGUUUUCCCAAGUUUUCCGCCCAAAACUUUUCUGCAUGCUGUCCCGCGGUAACGGUUACAAAGGCGACACGCUGGCAAUCCAAGCAUUGCUUACUUUCUGACGUGACAAACAAACUUGCUGAUAUCCAGACAAAAGAAUUAAGCAGCGUCUGAAAUUCGGAAUAUGUUCACUAUGAGCAGAGACUUCUACAUAUACUCAGAAUACGAAAUAUGGCUUCUCAAUCACAGAACAUGAACAUCCUGCUAACAUCCUACUCCUCUGUUCAACAUAUACAUGUACUCAGCAAAAAGUGUAGCAUAAUUUCCCAUUACAGUUAACGUUAAGUUUCAAUAUGGAACAGAUGCAGAAGCAAGAAAAAUUUACACAUAUAAUCUAACAAUUAAUAUAACAGGAAUGCAACUCAUAAAACUGCACACCACACUGGACAGAGACUGGCAACUUAUAUAUUCAUCUGAUGAAAACACCAAGGCAUCCUUAUAUGUAUGACUCUAUUACCAUAAAAACACUUAUUCUGAAAAAUCUUUUGUUCUACUAGAGUAUUACAACCUUAGAUUUGAACUAACUCUAAGAAAUCCCUUGUUCUAUUACAACUGUCACAUAUGGUAUACAACUUUCUCAAUGAUGGCAUAGCUAAACAUUCAGGUGAAAGAUAAACAUUGUGGUACUUACAGUAGAUUGUAUCAGAAAGAGAUACUCCAAAAAUUCUGAUUUAUCUAUAACCCUACUAUAUUGCCAAUGUUCUUUGCAUUGUUAUAACAAUGUUAUUGUAAUCAGAAUGUCUUAUUCAAUAGCGGCAUUUCAUACACCAGAAAACGAUGGAAGCUAUAAAUAAUUGUAAUCGGAAUGUCUUGUUCAAUAGUGGUAUUUCAUUCACCAGAAAGUAUUGUAUCUAUAAACCUAUCUUAGUACAAAGUCACAAAGUAGCACCAUUGAGUUCUGCUAAGUUCCAUGAAAACCAGCAUAGUAGGCCUUGUUAUACCAAGGAGGUUAAAAAAA